RNAcentral lists this unclassified non-coding RNA (253 nucleotides) under Patescibacteria group bacterium. Its description in RNAcentral is "contains 16S-23S intergenic spacer region". It matches the Rfam family "Bacterial small subunit ribosomal RNA", at positions 524 to 776 of the family's 1533-position model. The record is from RNAcentral.
UACAGAGACCUCGAACGUUAUCCGGAUUCAUUGGGCGUAAAGCGUCCGCAGGUGGUUUGAUAAGUUGAUGGUUAAAUCUUCGGGCUUAACCUGUAGACCGCUAUCAAUACUGUCAAACUAGAGGCCGGGAGGGGCAAGCGGAACAAUUGGUGUAGUCGUAAUAAGCGCUGAGAUCAAUUGGAACACCAAAGGCGAAGGCAGCUUGCUAGAACGUGCCUGACACUCAUGGACGAAAGCGUGGGUAGCGAAUGGG